AGAGCGGUGGCGGUGCGCGCUACUCGGGCUCCGGGGCUGUCCUAUCGAGUCAGGUACCUGAAGUAGCGCGCGCUGCUGCCGCCG
Molecule: microRNA precursor, 84 nt
Filed under: Operophtera brumata (winter moth)
Lineage: Eukaryota; Metazoa; Arthropoda; Insecta; Lepidoptera; Geometridae
Description: mir-275 microRNA precursor family
Rfam family: mir-275 microRNA precursor family
Source: Rfam by way of RNAcentral